UUUUUUUUUUUUUGAAUACUGAUUAAUCAUCAUAUUACUGCAUUACACAGAUAUUUACAACUGCUAUUAUAGCAGAUAUAUUACACUGAUAUUUACAAUCAGAAAUACAUGAUUGGGACUUAUAUUAUUACAUUGAAUUCUGUGAAGUACAUGCCCAGACAAAUAAUCCCUUACAGAAGAGGGAUGUCCAUACUCCACUCGUAUUGCACGAGGGAGAGGAAAUUUUUUGAAAUAUUAAACAA
Molecule: long non-coding RNA, 242 nt
Filed under: Citrus maxima (pomelo)
Lineage: Eukaryota; Viridiplantae; Streptophyta; Magnoliopsida; Sapindales; Rutaceae
Description: long non-coding RNA (CMAX_LNC000432)
Source: RNAcentral